GGAGUCGGCCAGGCAAUCGCUGUACUUUUGUGCAGAGGAAAGUCCGGGCUCCAGAGGGCGAGGUGCCAGGUAACACCUGGGGGGCGUGAGCCUACGGAAAGUGCAACAGAGAGUAGACCGCCUAAGCGCUUCGGCGCCGGUAAGGGUGAAAGGGUGCGGUAAGAGCGCACCGCGCGGGUGGCAACAUUCCGCGGCAUGGUAAACCCCACCUGGAGCAAGACCAAAUAGGGGAACAGGCUUUUGCCAGGCGCGGCCCGCGCGGGUUCC
RNAcentral lists this RNase P RNA (267 nucleotides) under Gammaproteobacteria bacterium. RNAcentral's name for it is "partial RNase P RNA component class A". It matches the Rfam family "Bacterial RNase P class A", at positions 1 to 267 of the family's 367-position model. From Rfam's summary of the family: Ribonuclease P (RNase P) is a ubiquitous endoribonuclease, found in archaea, bacteria and eukarya as well as chloroplasts and mitochondria. Its best characterised activity is the generation of mature 5'-ends of tRNAs by cleaving the 5'-leader elements of precursor-tRNAs. Cellular RNase Ps are ribonucleoproteins. Lineage: Bacteria; Pseudomonadati; Pseudomonadota; Gammaproteobacteria. The record is from RNAcentral.